AUCAAAUAAAGGCAACACAUGGCACUGAAACUUAGCUCUUUGGCCCGUGACCCUCUAGCACAAUGCUCUGCAGAUCUGGUCAGGAAUGAUAAGUGUUAUUGGCAAGUCACAAUUAUGGGACCUAAUAGUCCAUAUCAAGUAGUGCUUACUUUGUGAAAAUUUAUUUUCUUAUAAAUCAACCUAAGGUUGCAUUGAAACCACUUAAGAUUGCACUUAAAAUAAUUUAUCAUCCAUAUGUUAACAGUAACGGCAAUAUUUGUCUUGAUAUUUUAACAUCAAUGUAGUCUGCUUAAACUAUUUCAAAGGUUCUUUUAUCCACUAUUUUCCAGUGCUAUGUGAUCCAAACGAAGAUAACCCUCUACUAUCAGAGAUUGCCUGAAAAUCAAAAACAAAGAAAAAUCAAUAAAAUAUCUUGGGGGCAGUUUCAGAAGUAUGACAUGCAAUGA
This 446-nucleotide long non-coding RNA is filed under the name Homo sapiens (human). Its description in RNAcentral is "non-protein coding lnc-C2CD4A-14:1". The record is from RNAcentral. Lineage: Eukaryota; Metazoa; Chordata; Mammalia; Primates; Hominidae.